UAUAUUUUCAGUUAUUUUUAAUAAAACAAAUAGUCUCGCGGUGUACCGCGGGUUAAAAUCUAGUUUGGAUAUAUUUCUAUUUUUUAUAUUCAAUCAUAAGCAUU
Molecule: small RNA, 104 nt
Filed under: Arabidopsis thaliana (thale cress)
Lineage: Eukaryota; Viridiplantae; Streptophyta; Magnoliopsida; Brassicales; Brassicaceae
Description: ATSL194340
Source: RNAcentral